ACAUCCUAUUGAAGAAGCUAAAGCUGCUGAACAAGAGAUACACAGCCGAAGACAAGUCCCUCUCCCACUCCAACACCCCAGCCAUGGUCAACGCCCUCACGCUCGCACUCCUCCUCACGCUCGCACUCCUCCUCCUCCCCUCUUCCCGCCUCUCCCUCGCCACAUCACCACCACAACAAGACCCAGAAACCCCUAUCACCCGGUACCAGCAAUACCUGAGAUUCAACACCGCCCAUCCAAACCCAAACUACACAGCUCCAGUCUCUUUUCUAACCUCCUUAGCCCAAUCCCUCGGUCUCAAAACCCAGACUCUCGAAUUCAUAUCCAACAAACCAACUCUUCUCAUAACCUGGCAAGGCUCAAACCCAUCUCUCCCUUCACUCCUCUUCAACUCCCACCUCGACUCUGUCCCAGCUGAACCUUCUAAAUGGACCCAUCCUCCUUUCUCAGCCACACUAACCCCAGAAGGAAAAAUAUUUGCACGCGGAGCUCAAGACGACAAGUGCAUAGCAAUUCAGUACUUAGAAGCAAUCCGCAACUUAAAAGCAAGAAACUUUGUCCCUACAAGGACACUACACAUUUCUUUUGUUCCUGAUGAGGAGAUUGGUGGGAUUGAUGGGGCUGAUAAGUUUGUCAAGUCUAAAGAGUUUAAAGAUUUGGAUGUUGGGUUUGUUUUGGAUGAAGGGCUGGCUUCAGUUAACGAUGAAUUUAGAGUUUUUUAUGCUGAUAGGUCGCCUUGGAAUUUGAUUAUUAAGGCUAAAGGAGUGCCUGGGCAUGGGUCGAGAAUGUAUGAUAACGGAGCUAUGGAGAAUUUGAUGGAUAGUAUCGAGGUUAUCAACAGGUUUAGAGAUAGUCAGUUUGAUAUUGUUAAGGCUGGAAAAGCCGCGAACUCCGAAGUUAUCUCAGUUAAUCCUGUUUUCUUGAAAGCUGGGAUUCCUUCCCCAACUGGUUUUGUGAUGAAUAUGCAACCUUCGGAGGCAGAAGCAGGGUUUGAUCUUCGAUUGCCUCCUACAGCGGACCCGGAUCCUAUGAAGAAAAGAAUUGCUGAAGAGUGGGCGCCAGCUGUGCGAAACAUGACGUACGAGAUAAUUGAGAAAGGACCCUUGAGAGAUUAUAUGGGACGCCCAUUAAUGACAGCAACAGAUGAUUCGAACCCCUGGUGGUCUGUUUUCAAGCAAGCCAUUGCAGCAGCUGGAGGAAAACUUGCAAAGCCUGAAAUAUUGCGUUCAACUACUGAUGCACGGUUCAUGAGACAGUUGGGGAUUCCCACUUUUGGAUUCUCUCCAAUGACAAAUACCCCUGUUUUAUCCCAUGAUCAUAACGAGUUCUUGAAGGACACCAUAUUCUUGAAAGGAAUUGAGGUUUAUGAACAUAUAAUUCAUGCGUUGAGUUCGUUUGAGGAAGCUAAUUCAAUAUAGAUGUUCUCAGUUUGGACAUGAUUGGAGGACCAAUGUAUGGUAUGCUGAUUUUGAUGCGGCGGGGUUGUCACGACCGGUGGAGUCAGAGGGAGGCAAAUAUGGGUGCAGAUAAAUGCAGUUUGGCACUCAAGGCUUGGACGCCCCACCUCCUGCCAUUUCCCAUAUUUUGUAUGUAUCAGGAUAUAAGGGUGGGCUGGUGGCGAUUCCUCCUCCCAUUGCAAAAAAAGGAGGAGAAAAGAAAGUAGAGAAAAGAAAAGAAAAGACAAGAGGAAAGGGUGCUGCUAAAUUCGCUACAAAAUUUGUUGUUUCCACUACUUUCUAGAAUGACUAGUACAUUUUUCAUGCCAGCUUUAAUAAAGAGAGUAGCAUAUUAAGCUGCAA
RNA transcript from Populus trichocarpa (black cottonwood), 1799 nucleotides. RefSeq lists it as uncharacterized. The record is from RefSeq and is a predicted model, not a curated record. The transcript is spliced from 5 exons. Lineage: Eukaryota; Viridiplantae; Streptophyta; Magnoliopsida; Malpighiales; Salicaceae.